AGAAUCAACGCUGGCGGCGCGCUUAACACAUGCAAGUCGCACGAGAAAGGGGAGCAAUCCCUGAGUAAAGUGGCGUACGGGUGAGUAACACGUGGAUCAUCUACCUUUUAGUGGGGAAUACCCCCGGGAAACUGGGGACAAUACCGCAUAAGCUCGUAAGAGGAAAGCAGCAAUGCGCUGAAAGAGGAGUCCGCGGCUGAUUAGCUAGUUGGUGAGGUAACGGCCCACCAAGGCGAAGAUCGGUA
This 245-nucleotide ribosomal RNA is filed under the name uncultured bacterium. Its description in RNAcentral is "partial small subunit ribosomal RNA". It matches the Rfam family "Bacterial small subunit ribosomal RNA", at positions 26 to 285 of the family's 1533-position model. The record is from RNAcentral.